Molecule: ribosomal RNA, 160 nt
Filed under: uncultured bacterium
Lineage: Bacteria
Description: partial 16S ribosomal RNA
Rfam family: Bacterial small subunit ribosomal RNA
Source: RNAcentral
AAUGGCAGGUCAGCAUACUGCCGUGAAUAGUUCCCGGGCCUUGUACACACGCCCGUCACACCAUGAGAGUUGGGGAUACCCGAAGCCUGUGAGCUAACUAUUUAUAGGAGCAGCAGUCGAAGGUAGAAUCAAUGAUUGGGUGAAGUCGUAACAAGGUACC